CAGUAGCCGCGGUAAUACGUAGGUCCCGAGCGUUGUCCGGAUUUAUUGGGCGUAAAGCGAGCGCAGGCGGUUAGAUAAGUCUGAAGUUAAAGGCUGUGGCUUAACCAUAGUACGCUUUGGAAACUGUUUAACUUGAGUGCAAGAGGGGAGAGUGGAAUUCCAUGUGUAGCGGUGAAAUGCGUAGAUAUAUGGAGGAACACCGGUGGCGAAAGCGGCUCUCUGGUCUGUCACUGACGCUGAGGCUCGAAAGCGUGGGUAGCGAACAGGAUUAGAUACCCCCGUAGUCCCUGUCUCUUAUACA
This 301-nucleotide ribosomal RNA is filed under the name uncultured bacterium. RNAcentral describes it as "partial 16S ribosomal RNA". It matches the Rfam family "Bacterial small subunit ribosomal RNA", at positions 509 to 808 of the family's 1533-position model. The record is from RNAcentral.